RNAcentral lists this ribosomal RNA (279 nucleotides) under Pecten maximus. RNAcentral describes it as "partial 16S ribosomal RNA". The record is from RNAcentral. Lineage: Eukaryota; Metazoa; Mollusca; Bivalvia; Pectinida; Pectinidae.
UGACGAGAAUACCCCGUGAAGUUAGAAAUUUAAGUUAUUGGGGAGUUCCAAGGCUAUUUGUAGCCGAAUCGUUGAGGAGCACUAGAACUAAGUGUUUCAGAAGGGGUGAAUAAUAGCAGUUUUGGCUGGGGCAGCAAAGGAGCAAAGCUAGACUCCUUUAGGGUGUAAAACAGAUGUGUUACGACCCACAAACAUUAAGGUGUGAUUAUCAGAAGAAGUUACUCCGGGGAUAACAGCGUAAUCUGUCUUGAUAGUUCUUAUAGAUGGGCGGGUUUGCGA